Podarcis lilfordi (Lilford's wall lizard) is the source of this 69-nucleotide non-coding RNA. NCBI's taxonomy places the organism in Eukaryota, Metazoa, Chordata, Lepidosauria, Squamata, Lacertidae. The record is from the annotation of a GenBank genome assembly.
GGAUAGCUCAAUUGGCAGAGCAUGAGACUCUUAAUCUCAGAGUCAUGGGUUAGAGUUCCACAUUAGCCA